GGGGAUGACUGGUUUCGACUUGGAAUGGUUGUUCCAGGAGAAGCGGGCCGAGGACCCAGGGUCAACUCGUUAACGAUCCUUGGAAACCUAUAAGUGCUGAGAACACUCGCACUGACUUCGCUCUCGCUGCCUGAUCAGUGAUCGAAGGGUCAGCCCGGAUGUAGCCUUCCGUCCGGAUCCUGGCCUCGUUUAGAAGGCUUGCCGUACAGCUGUGGUCACGGGAGCUGUACGGGACGUUUCCGUGACUGGGCUUGUCUGCACCAUGUCGGUGUGAGUGCAGGAGCCGAGCA
RNAcentral lists this transfer-messenger RNA (290 nucleotides) under Propionibacterium sp. HMSC078F01. RNAcentral's name for it is "partial transfer-messenger RNA". It matches the Rfam family "transfer-messenger RNA", at positions 1 to 295 of the family's 374-position model. Rfam says of the family: Bacterial tmRNA, also known as 10Sa RNA or SsrA, is named for its dual tRNA and mRNA-like properties. Its role is to liberate the mRNA from a stalled ribosome. The record is from RNAcentral. Lineage: Bacteria; Bacillati; Actinomycetota; Actinomycetes; Propionibacteriales; Propionibacteriaceae.